ACACACGUAAACACAAAGAGAAACGAGUGCAUUGUGAACAAAUUUUUUCAACGAAUUUCCAAAUGUCUACAAAACAAAUCUAACAACAAAAAACAAAACCAAAAAAAGACCAUAAGAAAUUUUGAAAUUUGCUCUGUGAUUUUCUAUCAGAAUGGUUUAAACAAAAUAAUCCACAUAAUAAUUAAAAAUAAUAAUAUUUAAAUAUUUAUAAAUAUUUGCUAACAAACAAAAGAAAAAACAAGCUUUAAAUUCAAGUAACAAACAUUUCUAUAAAUAUUACAAAGCCCCAAAGCAACCAACAAGCAACCGAAGGUUUAUUGAUACUUAAAGCUAAUUAGUGCAACUAAAGUUAGUUUAAAACUGUGCAACUGUGAGGCAGAUCAUUACCCCACUACAACACGCAGUAGGAUCAAUCAUCGAGCAGCCAUGGACGACAUGCCGGAUCUUUCGCAUUUGACACCACACGAGCGCAUGCAGAUCGAGAAUGUGCUCAUGCGGCAGAAGCAGGAGGAGGAGGCACAGAAUGAGAUAAUGCGACGCAAACAGGAUGAGGUUGUCACAUUGGAAAUGCAAAUACGACAACGCUCGGAGCAGCAAAAGAAGGCCGGCGUCGAACUGGAUGCCACCUGUCACAUAUGCCUUAAGACCAAAUUUGCCGAUGGCGUUGGACACAUUUGCCACUACUGCAACAUACGCUGCUGUGCACGUUGCGGUGGCAAGGUGACAUUACGCAGCAACAAGGUGAUUUGGGUGUGUAUACUCUGCCGCAAGAAGCAGGAGCUGCUCUCGAAGACGGGCCAAUGGAUCAACAAAACGGGAGGCCAGCAGGAUGGUUUCAUACGCCGCAUUGAGCCCGAUGGCAGCAGCGACAUCUCCCAGCAGGCCAUUGUGGAUCCGCAUGACACUACGGACAAGCGGCCCAAGCUGGAACGUACGCGCAGUGCCGCCGAAAAGGAGAAUCUGCCCAUGCAACGUGCUGGCAGCAUGCUACGGCGGCAAUACUCGCAGCAGGAGCAGCCCACGAAUCGCCGUUUGUCCGUCUCGGACAGUGGCAUGGAUCCCAUGAUGAGUCCUGGUCAGCAGCAGCAGCAUCCGCAGCAGCAGCGUGGUCGCAUGCAGCCAAUGAAUCCGCAGCAGUCGCAGCAGGGAUACGGCGGCUAUGGCAUGCAGCAGCAGCAGCAACAGAGAUCAGGUGGAGCCUAUCCAGAGGAUGAUCCGCGUUACUAUCAGGGAGAACUGGAUGGCUUGAUGAGGCAACAUCCACAUUUGGCGCAUCCCAGUCAAGUGCAGCCGCAACAGCAGCAACAACACUCGCAGCAACAGCAGCAACAUUCGCAGCAGCAACAACACUCGCAGCAACAACAACAUCACAUGCCAACACAGCAGCAGCUACGUCAGUCACCGCAGCAACAUCCACAACAGCAGCAGCAGCAUGCACAGCAGCAACAUUCACAGCAGCAGCAGCAACAGCAGCAUGCACAGCAGCAACAUUCACAGCAGCAGCAAUUUACGUCGCGACAGCAAACGUAUCAGGCACAGAUACACACACCGCCACAAACCCACAUGCAACCGCAACAGCAGCAGCCCCAUGCCCACUCGCAGCAAAUGUCCAUGUCCCAGCAGAUGGUGGGCGGCUAUCAGAAGCCACCACCACUGACCCGCAACCUGACCAUCAGCGGUGGACAUGCCAUGGAUAGCAGCAGCUACGGCCAGCAGCAACAGCAGCAGCAGCAGCAACUCAACCAGCAGCAACAUCGUAGGCCGCAGUAUGCCUCACAGCAGCAGCGAUCCUUCAGCAGUUCGGAGGAGGAGUUUCAGAAUCAAUUGCUGCAGGCACAGGCACAGGCUGCUGGCGCUGGAGCCACUGUCAGUGCGGGCUCCGAUUACGAUGGCGGGCGUCUACAGGUGCGCACCUCACUGGAUCCCUGGCGCCAGCAGCGGAGCCUCAACGAGCGCGAUCUUUUGAGCACCAGUGCCGGCGGCACAUCCAGUGAUUACCGCCUGUUGGCCCACACCAGCCAGCGGCUGUACUCGUCGGCGGAUCAGCGCGAUCGCUACGAGCUGCAGCUGCAGCAUCGCGAGCGCGUGGAGCAGUAUCCGCUGACUAGGACCGCGCGGCUGGACGUGCAGCAGCGCAACUCGCUGAAUCGCACCAAUCACGAGCGACAGUUCGUCGGUGGAGCGACGAGUGGCGGGGUGACUGGUGCUGCUGGCGCCUACCGACGUGCCCCGCCCUUGGCCGCAACCGGCGGCGGUGGUAGCAGCAGCAGUAGCACCAGCAGCAGCUACUAUCCCCCACACAGCCAGGGCCAGUCCAAGCCACAGAUUGUGAUCGGUUCGGGUGCCUAUGAUCGAGGAGGCGCCAUGUCCGCUGACCAGGGCGGCACCGGCUCGAGAGGCAGCCUAAGCAGGGAGCGAGCGCUGUUGGGCGGCAAAGGCUUGGGCGGUGGGGGUGGCAGCAGUUCCGUCAGCUCCACGGAGGCAGCCUACUGGGAUGAGCCCGCGGGGGGCAGCACCUCAUCCUCAUCGGCGGCCCAGGAUUCGCGUCGCUUUACCGAGCGUAGAAUAAAGAAAACGGUACGCUUCGAUGCCCACGAGGAUGAGGCCUCAAUUAUGGCCGGCGGCGGAAUGAUGGGCAGCGGAUCGUUGCCUCCGGUGACCACCAUACUGCCUUCGACAGCGGUAGAUGUGGGCUCGGCCACGCUGCUGACUAGCGGCAAGAUGGGCGGCAUGGGACAGGGACCACCACCCAUGGAGGGGGCUAGUGCCGGGGACUGGGCCAGAUGGGAGGCCGAACGACAGGGCAGCCAGGAUUCGGCGACCAAGGAUUCGGGCAUUGACACGAGCAGCACAUUUACCAGCAGCGAGGACUCAAACCGCGGUGACGGGCCCAAGAAUCCGGUGAAUUGGCAAACAUCCGCGGAUAAUACUCGCUUGAUUGGGCACAUGAUAUUACGUAAAUACUAUGAUGGGGAAGAUAUAUUAGGCUUAAAGGUCAACGGCGGCCAGCCCAUUGGAGGAGGAGUAGGAGGAAUAGGAGGAGGAGUAAUAGGAGGACCAUUAGGAGGAGGUCCAUGCGGUGCUAUUGUGGAGAAGGUGAAACGCGGAUCGGUGGCCGAUCUCGAAGGCCGCAUACGACCAGGCGAUGAAAUCAUCGAGUGGAAUGGCCGUAAUUUGCACAACAAAAGCGCGGAUGAGGUCUACGAUAUACUCGACGAGAGCCGCUUGGAUGCGCAGGUGGAAUUGAUUGUCAGCCGUCUGAUCAGUGGAAGUGGCGGCAGCAGUCAGAACGUCAGUCCCAGCAGUGCCUCCAACGCCCACGCCCACGGUCACAACAACAACAGCGGAAGCAGCAGCAACCUACCGCCGGUACGCCGCUCCUCGGCCAACUUUCCGCACAGCGGCCUGGCCAGCAGCAUGGCAGGCAGUGCGGUGGUUAGCAGCGGCGGAAGAUAUCUACAGCGCAAAGCGCCCGCUGUUGAGGCCAUUGAAAUCCAUCGUGAUAAGCCGAGUGUUUUGAUAACCUCACCCGGCUCACCGGACAUUCACGUAACUGCAGCGGGCAACGGUGUACGGAGUCAACGUGGCGGUUCCUCGCAGCAUACACAGCGCCUGGGAGCAAGCCACAGCACUCACAGCCACAGCAGCAGUGGGAGUGGCAGCGUCAGCGGCAGCAGCACCACCAGCAGCGUAUACGCAGCGUCCAGCAGCAUACAGGGCGUUGCACCCGUUGCCGUCGCCUCCGUGUCGAAUUCUUCCUCCGCCCCGGGCGGAGGUCUGCACGGCACAACGACGGCGGGCCACCAUCACCAUCACCAUUGCCAUCAGCCAUUGCCGCCCGCCCAUUUGCAUGGCAGUCCCCUGGGCAUGGGAAUGGGCAGUGGGGCGGGUACGACAACGCAACCGAUACCGAUCGAGGGGCGGCUGCAGCUGAAGCUCGGCUACGAUCAGAAUACACUUCAGCUGAUUGUGACGCUGGUGUGUGCCACAGGCCUCUCACUGCGCCAGAGCGGAGCGGGCCGAAAUCCCUAUGCAAAAGUGUUCCUGCUGCCCGAUCGUAGCCACAAGUCAAAGCGGCGUACCAAGACGGUGGGCACCACCUGCGAACCACGUUGGGCUCAGACAUUUCUCUACUCGGGCCUGCGACGCUGUGAUCUUAAUGGACGACUGCUUGAGGUGACGCUGUGGGAUUAUGUGCGGUAUGGGGCCAACGAUUUCAUCGGCGAAGUGGUCAUCGAUCUGGCUCAUCAUAUACUCGACGACGAGGCCGAAUGGUAUCAGCUGCAGCCGCAUCAGGACACCUCCUAUCUCUUACGUGACGAGGGCAGCGAUGUGGACGGCCUGAUACUGACACCGACAGAUCAUUUAUCACCGCCGAGCACCAUGUCGCGUAUGAGCGACUCGGACACGACGUCCGACUGUGACAUCGAUGGAAUGACGCCGGUGGCCAGCAUCUCCUCGAUGGGAAGCUCGGCCAGUCCGCCGCCCAUGUUAGAGCUCGAUCUAAACGAGCGUCGAUCCAGACGCGACAUGUCACCGCAGGGCCGCAAACGUGUGGCCGGAAUGGUAGCCCGUGAUUAUCGCACUGUAUCUGGCAUUGGACAAAGUUAUCACAAUCAGGCAUCUGCCACGGGCUAUUAUCGACGCGGCGGCGGCGGUGGAAUCGGUGGUAAUGGUGUCGGUUCCUCCUGCAUCGGACCCGGUGGCAUGAGCCUCAGUCAGCGCAGUCAUUCGGCGGCACCCAACGACAGCUACCACAGCGGCGGUGUGGGCGGAGUGCCCACAGGUGUUCCAGGCUACGGCUAUAGGAGUACCAGUCCACGCAGAGGCUCAUUGUCGCCACCCGACGAUCGGUACAUAGACUAUCCAGUGCUUCCAGUACACGGCUCACCCAACGCACCCUCCGUUUAUCCGGGCACGGGUCCGGGCAUUGCAGCCACAUCGGCCACACAGCAGCAGAGAUUUCAGUCGCGCUCAGCCACAGCCACGCCGACAGGAUCGCCAAAGAAGAGGCAACUGCCACAGGUUCCUCAGACCUCACGUAGCGCCAUGCUGCGUGACCGACUGGGCCAGGACUUUGACGAGCGCCUGGCCUCGGGCAGUCGCUUUGGGCGUCAUCGCACACGCCAACCGCAUCAUCAGGCCACCUACCGCAGCACUGGCAUGGGCGGCUGGGAGCGCCACUACACGGGGCUGUCCGACAGCGAUCUGCACUCGAUGGACGCGCGGAUGAGGCCGCGGCACUCGCUCUCGCCGGACAAGGACUUUAUGGGCGAGUUCGGUGACUCCGAUAUGGAGUCUGUGGUCAGUGUGACGUCCAGCGCGUUCUCCACGCAGUCGGAAAGGCCGCGCACCUCGCGGGGACUCAGCUUCGCCCACAACUGGCGCAAUCUCUUUGGCGUACGCAACAGCUUCUUGGGUGGAGGAGCCAACGGCGGAGGACCCGUGACUGGACUCCGCAUGAUGCAUCCCCUGGAUGCAGCCCACCGUGCCAACACCAUCGAGGUGGAUGACUGUGACUAUCUGCCACACGUGGCGGGUGUCGGCGGCACACAGCAGCUGCUGCUGCUGGAGCAGCUCGAGCAGUUGCAGCAUUUGGCGGCCAUGGCGGCCGCCGAUUCCCCACCCAUUUCGGCGGGACUUGGACUCGGCGUUGGAAUGGGAUGUGGGAUGGGGAUGGGAGUACCACAACGUGUUCUGGUGACGGACGCCAAUAGCGGCGAACUGGUGGAGCAAUUCUUUGUGGAGCCAGCCACAGCCGCCGAGGAGACUUCGGUCAUUGAUCCGCUUGAUCCACUCGAACCACUCGAUCCUCAUGUGCAUUUGCAUCCGCAUUCCGUCUACUAUUCGCCUCAUUUGUCCUCAGCAGUCACCAACAACCACCAUUCGUCAUUUCUGACGCCCAACGACAUGUUCCAACGACGGUCCAACGGACAGACACCACCCGCCUCCGCCUCAGCCUCUGCCUCCGCCUCAGCCUUUGCUCAUGCCUAUCCGCUGCCGCUGCCACUGCCCAGUUUUGAGCAAUUCAAGCGCAUUACCACGCCCGUCAUGAAUCUCUUCCGCAGCUCCUCGCCCAUUCCCAAUGUCCACGCCCACGCCCAUGACCACGCCCACACGGUAUCCUCAUCGCCCAGCUCGUACGUGGGCUAUGUACGGGACCAUCUGGACAAGAGCUGCAGCCACUGCCAGAACGGCAGCCAGCCGGUGGUGCUCUCCACGAACACGGCCCUGGCCAUGCCCGGACUGACGAUCGGAGCCUGCACCGAUCCCUGCUGCCUGGUGGACUCGCAUCCGCAUCCGCAGCACCAACCGAUUGCGUACCCGUACAGUGCGGAGCAACUGCUGCGCCGCCCCUCGCUCUCCGCUUCGAUGUACCAGCCGAGCAGCUCGGAGCCCUCGCUGCCCACCAUGGACCCGGCAAUGUGCGGCGAGUGCGUCGACCAGCACUUCCUGGGCGGCCUCACCGGCCCCCAGGUGAACCUCGGCGCCGUGCCCACAUACCACGUGCACACGCCCACGCCGACCGCCCAUCGACGGGCCAAGGCGCAGCUGGCGGCGCCUCCGUCGCUGCCCACCCAGUCCGUGCUGCGUCUCUCGCGCCAGCUGAGCGAGGACGCCCUGGUGUCCGCCGUGCCCAUCUCUGAGUCGACGGCCAAGGCGCAGCCCACCUCGAUCCUGAAGAAGCCGAAAAUGGAGCGCCGGCGCAUGUUCCACGAGGGCCAGUCACGCUCCCUGGACUACGACGAUCUGCACAACAAGAGCUGGGGCCGUCGUCGCAUCCGCUACGAGGAUGAGGUGGCCCAACAUGAGGCGGCCGCCUAUCCCUAUCCCCAUUCCUAUCCGUAUCCACACUCCUCAACGUCCCCGGCAGAGGCACAGCUGCCCAUGUCGCGGCGCUACGGAUCCGAGACGAACAUCCGGCAGUCGUACAUGGGCGCCAAUGUGGAUGCCCACAAUCCGCUGAGCCACUCGCAUUUCCUGGUCACCGAUGACAAAAUCGUGACCAUCACCUAUGACUCGGACGUGGGCUGGACACGGCGUGGCGUGGCCCCAUCCCUUUUUCGUGGGCCGCACCGGCAACAGCGUGGAGCCAUGUCGCUGGAUCUGCAACGGACCAAUCAGCAGAAGCUUUACGGCCCGGCGGCGCCGUAUUUGAAGCGUCGGCGGAAUCUGCCGCAUCCGCCCAGUGCACAGAAUGCGCACAAUUUCUCGCCCAUGGAGGCACGGGACGGUGGAUCGACGGGGAUGGACUAUACACUGCCGCAGCAUGGUGGCGAGCAGCGGGGCGGUAACGUCGGAAUCGGAAACGGUAGCGGGGGCGGGGGCGGGGGCGGUGGUCAACACAACAAUAUGAACAGUAACAGUACCACACUCAACCAAUCACACCACAACCACCAAAAUCACACCACAGCCACCAACCACCACCUCCACCACAAUAGCCAACAACAACAACAACAAGCGAGUAGUGUUAGUGUUAGUCAAAGUCACAACAAAAAAGGGAAAGAAGGCAUCGCUAUCGGCGGAACGAUGGCAUCAUCGGAGCAACAGACGAAAUCUAGUAGUGGGAGCGGUGGUGCAACAUCUGCUGCCGCUGCUGGCAAUAUCGUCGUCGGUGGUAAUAAUGCUAAUAAUGCUUCUUCUUCCUCUUUUGCAAAUCCCCCACAACAACAUCAUGGUGUCGCCAAUCAACCAAUUACAACAAAUGCAUCACCCAACACCAACACGAACACCAACAUUAACAAUUACAACAAUUACAUGAACAAUAACAACAACCAAAACCGUGCCCAAUCAUCAUCAACACAACCACAACAACAACAACAAUUACAACAACCAAACACAAAUUCAACAACACCAAUGAACACAACAACGAAUGACGUGACUCAUGACGCAACAAAUCCCACACAACAACAACAAAAUACAUGCACAAAUCUCAUCAACAAUACAACAACAACAAUCACAACUUCAACAACAACAACAACAAACACAUCGUCGAAUGCAACGAAUGCGGCGACAACGACGACGACAACAACAACGACAACUGCAACAACAACAACUGCAACUGCAACAAAUGCUACAACAACUGCCACAAAUCCAACAACGAAUACAAAUACAACAAAUAAUACGAACGAUACAAACGCAACAACAACGAACGAUGCGGAUGCGGACGCGGAUGCUCCGCUCGAUGCCAUCGACUGGGAUGCAAUCGACGCCAUGUUGGAUGACGACUUCAGCGAGUACGACAAGGAGAAGAACGGCACUGAGGGUGGGGCCAAAUCCACGGAAGGUGGCGCCGAGGGAGAAGAUAAAGCUGAUGGUAGCCAAUCGGAUACCGCCAAUGAUCGAAAGAAAGGCGGCACCGUGGACCAGGAACGCUCGCCCAAAGGCGGCAGCGGCAUGGGCAAGAAAUCCAAUUCCACAUCCCAGCUGUCCGCAACAGGUCGUAAAAGACGUAUGGGCUUUGGAAAGAAGGGUAAGAACUCGUUCACGGUGCAUCGCAGCGAAGAGGUGCUGCCCGGUGAUAUCACGCGGGAGCUGCGCGGUGGCGGUGGCGUUGGCGUCGCUGGUGCCGGUGCUGGUGGUGCCAGCGGUGCUGCCGGAGGCGGUGGCGGUGGCCUAUCGCGUGGCUCGUCCUCGGAGGCGGAUGCCAUUGAGCAGUUUUUCGGCGAUGGUGCCGGUGGGGAAAGAUUCUCUCCCUCGUUGCGCAAUGAUGGAGCCCUCAAUGAGUUUGUCGAGGGCCUGGGACCAGGACAACUGGUGGGUCGCCAAGUGCUGGGUGCACCCUCACUGGGCGACAUUCAGCUAUCGAUGUGCCAUCAAAAAGGCUUUCUAGAGGUGGAGGUCAUACGAGCCAGAGGUUUGACGCAAAAACCCUCAUCGAAGAUGCUGCCCGCACCGUAUGUAAAGGUGUAUCUGGUCUCGGGCAAGAACUGUGUAGACAAGAUGAAGACUUCGACGGCGCGUCGCACCCUGGAUCCACUCUAUCAGCAGCAGUUGGUGUUCAAGCACUCCUAUGCUGGUUGCAUACUCCAGAUAACCGUUUGGGGCGACUACGGGCGCAUCGAGAAGAAAGUGUUUAUGGGCGUUGCUCAGAUAAUGCUUGAUGAUCUGAAUCUGUCGAAUAUCGUGAUCGGCUGGUACAAGCUCUUUGGCACCACCUCACUGACACCGAAACACCCACAACCACCACAACCAUGAGGCCAACAACAACAACAACCACAACAACAUCAAGAUCCACAACAACAGCAAUUUGCAUUGUAUGCUGAAAAGCUGAAAUGAACAAUGAAAUGUUGAAUAUGAAUAUGAAUAUAUAAAUAUAUAUCCUAUCUCGCAAAAAGUCACCAUAAAUCUACUGUUACUACAACGUAGCUUUCACAUAGACUCGUUCAAUACUCAUAUAGGGUCGUCCGAUUGUUUGGGCCGGUGAAUCAGUCAUAAUGGAGGAGCCGGGUGAAUAACACUUUUCAACACAAACAACACCAUGACCAACAACAAGAAAAACAACAACAACAACUACUACAACAACAACCAACACCACAACGAAAACACUUUAAGCACCCAAGCACAAUUCCAAUACCAAAAGCGAACUUAAAACUGAACUGAAUUCAUAACCCUUGCAAAGAGCUGCCAGCCAGGCAGCCAAAUAGCAAAGGACCAAGGUCAGCCUGCAGCAGCGGAAGCAACGCGGCCGCCGCCCGAUGAUACCCAUACGUCAUGUUGCUGGCCUAAGCUAAGUCCAAAAUCGGAAUUUUUUCUAUUCUACAACCAAUGGAGAGGGAGAUUUUCAAAGAAAAAUUAAGAAAAAAACACGACAAAAAACGAUGAAAGAGAAAAAAAUAUCUAAUUUUUGUAUGUCAUGAAAACAAAUGCAUUUAACGAACCGAGAACCGAGAACCGAGAACACAAGAGCAGAGCAGUAAAAUGAUUAAAACUAUGGAAAACCCAGAUACAAGAUAGAUAUAUAUAUAUACGAGUACAUAUAUAUACAUACAUUUACACAAACAUACAUACAUAUAUAUAAUGGAUAACAUAUGACAAAAAAAAGGAUACUUGUAAAUUAUGCAUAUUUAAAUUAAUUUUUACUACACACCUAAGAUCACUAUUAUUUUCGUAAUACGAUUACUACGAUUAUUAUUACCUAAAAAAACUAUUAUUGAUAAUCGAGAGUUAAAAGAGGAGCAGAAAAAACCAAUAACCAAAGAGAGAAGAGAUAGUAAGAAGAGAAUGUGCUGUCAGACAUGCCUAAGCCAACGCUUAAGCUUGAGCAGCGUGUGGAAAGGUGGAUAUAAAAUGUUUAUUUAAUAAUUAGCUAAAUCUAAAUCGAAAAUCUGUAAGUACAAUUUAUAGAUUUUCACAAGAUGGCAGUUAUUUAAGUAUAUAUACAUAAAUCUAUAUAUAUAGUAAAUAUAUUUACAGAUUAAGCAAGCAAAGAACCACUAACACUUAAAUAAGCCUAACUUACGAUUAAACCUAAACUUAAAGUUAAAGUUUAAGGUUUGGGUAACUACAAAUGAAAUGGGAGAUUAAUUCUAGAGAUGUAUGAGAUGAUGAUAUGUGUAUUAAUCGAACAACAACAACCACAAAUAUUUACCAAGCGAGAGAUGAGCAAGUUUAACUUAAUACAAAUUCUCAACUUAAGCUGUACAUAGAAUCGAUCCACACACACCCACACACUUACACUUUGAAUAUACACACACAACAUCCGGACUUUCGAUUGUCGAUUGUCGUGAUCUUUAUAGGCUUUAUAGAUAUUAUUUAGCUCUACGCUCCGGCAAAAACUCCACAGCAAACCCCAAAAUGUGCGAGUUUUUGCUGGCUAGCGAUGGGCCCACAGCUAUGUAUUCAUAUAAUUUUAACUAGAUCAAAUGAGAGGACAACUCUCUCUCUCACACACACACACACACACACACACACACACAAACACUCUCUCUAUCUCUCUCUCGAUAUAUAGACACAUACUACUAUAUACUAUCAAGCGAUUUUGUUGUAGCUGCCCGCGCUUCACCUUUAUCACGCUUCUAGAGAAUCGCUAUAGACUCCGUUUGCGCCGACUCGGUUCCAAUCAAACUUGCCUCUAACAAACGCAAAAAAACGCAUCAAGUACCUUCAAGUUAAUAGUGUGAGCUGUAAAAAUCGUUACCUGCUUGCCAAAGACACAUUACAUUAACAAACAUAAACACAUAGCGUCGUAACACAUUAGCAUAAAUGGAAAACAGUAAUAGGAAAAAUUGAUGGGAAGAAGGAAAGAAAAACCAAAGAUAGUUUGCAAUUUAAUAUUAUCUACAUUUUAGUUUGAGAGUUGUUCUAUUGGUGUUCUUUUGGUGCAACAUUUUGCAAUGCAUUCCUAGGAGGAGGAGCACUGGACUCCGCAAUUGGUUCACUUUUAAGGAAACAUAUCACAGGCCUGGCACAGAGACAGAGUGAUGGAUGGGAGCAGUUUACUUUUAUACAUACAUACAAUAUAUAGUAUACUCGUAUUAGGACUAUAGUCAAUGAAAUAUUAUAAUAAAUAUACGAGAAACGUAGCUAUUGUUCCUAUCCAGUUAUGUAAUGUUCGUAAUGUUCUUUUUUGCUUUCACUCAUGGCUACGGAUAUUGAUUUGAACCUUUCCGUCCAUUCAUUCAGCUUUCAACAAACACACAACAAGAUAAAGUUAAAUAUAUAAAAUACAUUGAUAGGUGCAUAUCCAUCCAAGCAGCUGCAGCUUCCUAUAUCAGAAUUACGACAACUACACAGAUACGUAAAGAAUUUGCCAAACUACCCCAGAAAGAAUGCAUUCAAAAUGUUGCCACAACAAGAACUUGGAAAUGCCACACAUUAAACGAAAAGUCAGAAGAUGAAGAUGAAGAAAAGAGAAGAAAAAAAUCAACUACCAGCGAGGUUUCCAGCAACUAAUUAUACGAUAUAUAAAUCAGAGAUACAUACAUGAAAAAAAACAUACAGACAUUAUAGAUUAUCAGAUUUGUACACUCCACUCCGAAAGUCACGAACUUCAUACGAACUUUUCUAUGAUAAAAACUCUCUCUCUAUCUCUAUCUUUAUCUUUGUAUUGUUUCCACUUUUGCUCUCCUUCAGCAAACAUUCGAAGAUGCUUUAAUUAAUCAGCAAAUCAACAAAGAAUAUGAACAGAAAGUGCAACAAACAGCGGCAAGAGCCGUAGUUGAAGUGCUCCUUCCGUUUGCAAUUGGAAUAAGACCAAAUUUUCUAGAGAAAUAAUUAGUUAAGAUACUCUUUCGGAAAGGGCAUUUCCUUCGUUGAGACAUAGAUGAAAAUUCUUAUUAGAAUUCCUCUAGAAUUCGUUACAUUUAAGUCACACAAAGGACAAAAGCAUAUAGAAAAUGUUACUGAAGCAAAUGAAGCAAAGAUAUAUUACGGCAAGUUAUUUCAAAGGGCAAACCAAAAAAAACAAGAAACAAAACAAAACAAAA
Molecule: RNA transcript, 12428 nt
Organism: Drosophila guanche
Lineage: Eukaryota; Metazoa; Arthropoda; Insecta; Diptera; Drosophilidae
Gene: Rim
Gene name: regulating synaptic membrane exocytosis protein 2
Exons: 24
Source: RefSeq, a predicted model, not a curated record